This 425-nucleotide ribosomal RNA is filed under the name uncultured bacterium. RNAcentral's name for it is "bacterial SSU rRNA". It matches the Rfam family "Bacterial small subunit ribosomal RNA", at positions 356 to 772 of the family's 1533-position model. The record is from RNAcentral.
GGGGAAUAUUGGACAAUGGGGGCAACCCUGAUCCAGCAAUGCCGCGUGUGUGAAGAAGGCCUGCGGGUUGUAAAGCACUUUCAGUUGGGAAGAAACAGCAAUCGGCUAAUACCCGAUUGUCUUGACGUAACCAACAGAAGAAGCACCGGCUAACUCCGUGCCAGCAGCCGCGGUAAUACGGAGGGUGCGAGCGUUAAUCGGAAUUACUGGGCGUAAAGCGUACGUAGGCGGUUAGAUUAGUCGGAUGUGAAAGCCCCGGGCUUAACCUGGGAAUUGCAUUCGAUACUGUCUGGCUUGAAUGUGGAAGAGGGAAGUGGAAUUCCAGGUGUAGCGGUGAAAUGCGUAGAUAUCUGGAGGAACAUCAGUGGCGAAGGCGACUUCCUGGUCCAACAUUGACGCUGAGGUACGAAAGCGUGGGGAGCAAA